AUGCACGCUAGCUACAGGCUUAACACAUGCCAGUCGCAGGGUAACAUGAGGAAAGCUUGCUUUCCUUGAUGACGACUGGCGCACGGGUGAGUAACGCGUAUCCAACCUUCCCAUAACUACGGGAUAACCCGUUGAAAGACGGCCUAAUACCGUAUGAUAUCGUUUGCUGACAUCAAAUAACGAUUAAAGGUUUAGCGGUUAUGGAUGGGGAUGCGUCUGAUUAGCUUGUUGGCGGGGUAACGGCCCACCAAGGCGACGAUCAGUAGGGGUUCUGAGAGGAAGGUCCCCCACAUUGGAACUGAGACACGGUCCAAACUCCUACGGGAGGCAGCAGUGAGGAAUAUUGAUCAAUGGGCGAGAGCCUGAACCAGCCAAGUAGCGUGCAGGACGACGGCCCUAUGGGUUGUAAACUGCUUUUAUGUGGGGAUAAAGUGCGUGACGUGUCAUGCAUUGCAGGUACCACAUGAAUAAGGACCGGCUAAUUCCGUG
RNAcentral lists this ribosomal RNA (489 nucleotides) under uncultured bacterium. RNAcentral describes it as "partial 16S ribosomal RNA". It matches the Rfam family "Bacterial small subunit ribosomal RNA", at positions 29 to 507 of the family's 1533-position model. The record is from RNAcentral.